UUUAAAUUGAGAGUUUGAUCCUGGCUCAGGAUGAACGCUGGCGGCGUGCUUAACACAUGCAAGUCGAGCGAUGAAGUUUCCUUCGGGAAACGGAUUAGCGGCGGACGGGUGAGUAACACGUGGGUAACCUGCCUCAUAGAGUGGAAUAGCCUU
RNAcentral lists this ribosomal RNA (153 nucleotides) under Clostridium perfringens. RNAcentral's name for it is "partial 16S ribosomal RNA". It matches the Rfam family "Bacterial small subunit ribosomal RNA", at positions 1 to 150 of the family's 1533-position model. Lineage: Bacteria; Bacillati; Bacillota; Clostridia; Eubacteriales; Clostridiaceae. The record is from RNAcentral.